UUGGAGGGCAAGUCUGGUGCCAGCAGCCGCGGUAAUUCCAGCUCCAAUAGCGUAUAUUAAAGUUGUUGCAGUUAAAAAGCUCGUAGUUGAAUUUCGGGAUUAGUACGCUGGUCGUGCCUUCGGUACGUACUGGUGUUACUGAUUUCUACCUUCUGACGAACCAUCAUGUCAUUAAUUUGGUGUGGUGGGGAAUCAGGACUGUUACUUUGAAAAAAUUAGAGUGUUUAAAGCAGGCUCGCGCUUGAAUACAUUAGCAUGGAAUAAUGAAAUAGGACGUUGAUCCUAUUUUGUUGGUUUCUAGGAUUGACGUAAUGAUUAAUAGGGAUAGUUGGGGGCAUUAGUAUUCAAUUGUCAGAGGUGAAAUUCUUGGAUUUAUUGAAGACUAACUACUGCGAAAGCAUUUGCCAAGGAUGUUUUCAUUAAUCAAGAACGAAAGUUAGGGGAUCGAAGACGAUCAGAUACCGUCGUAGUCUUAACCAUAAACUGUGCCGACUAGGGAUCGGAUGAUGUUAUUUUUAAUGGCUCAUUCGGCGCCUUACGGGAAAC
RNAcentral lists this ribosomal RNA (546 nucleotides) under uncultured Glomeromycotina. RNAcentral's name for it is "SSU rRNA". It matches the Rfam family "Eukaryotic small subunit ribosomal RNA", at positions 548 to 1098 of the family's 1831-position model. Lineage: Eukaryota; Fungi; Glomeromycota. The record is from RNAcentral.